This 466-nucleotide ribosomal RNA is filed under the name Chaetoceros curvisetus. RNAcentral describes it as "partial Bacterial large subunit ribosomal RNA". It matches the Rfam family "Bacterial large subunit ribosomal RNA", at positions 661 to 1126 of the family's 2925-position model. The record is from RNAcentral. Lineage: Eukaryota; Bacillariophyta; Thalassiosirophyceae; Chaetocerotales; Chaetocerotaceae.
GGAAGCCGUAGAGAAAUCGAGUCCGAAUAGGGCGUUCAGUCGCUGGGUGUAGACCCGAAACCAAGUGAUCUAUCCAUGGCCAGGAUGAAGGUGCCGUAACAGGUACUGGAGGUCCGAACCCACUAGUGUUGCAAAACUAGGGGAUGAGCUGUGGAUAGGGGUGAAAGGCUAAACAAACUUGGAAAUAGCUGGUUCUCUCCGAAAACUAUUUAGGUAGUGCCUCAAGUAUUACCUGCGGGGGUAGAGCACUGUUUAGGCUAGGGGGUCAUGGCGACUUACCAAACCUAUGCAAACUCCGAAUACCGCAGAGUACAGCUUGGGAGACAGAGCACCGGGUGCUAACGUCCGGACUCAAGAGGGAAACAACCCAGACCGCCAGCUAAGGUCCCUAAAAUUGGCUAAGUGGGAAACGAAGUGGGAAGGCUAAAACAGUCAGGAUGUUGGCUUAGAAGCAGCCAUCAUUUAA